CAGCAGCCGCCGCGGUAAUACGAAGGGUGCAAGCGUUAAUCGGAAUUACUGGGCGUAAAGCGUGCGUAGGCGGUGAGUUAAGUCUGCUGUGAAAUCCCCGGGCUCAACCUGGGAAUGGCAGUGGAUACUGGCUCGCUAGAGUGUGUCAGAGGAUGGUGGAAUUCCCGGUGUAGCGGUGAAAUGCGUAGAGAUCUGGAGGAAUACCGAUGGCGAAGGCAGCCAUCUGGCCUAAUACUGACGCUGAGGUACGAAAGCAUGGGGAGCAAACAGGAUUAGAUACCCCCGUAGUCCCUGUCUCUUAUAC
Molecule: ribosomal RNA, 304 nt
Filed under: uncultured bacterium
Lineage: Bacteria
Description: partial 16S ribosomal RNA
Rfam family: Bacterial small subunit ribosomal RNA
Source: RNAcentral